GGUUAAGCGACUAAGCGUACACGGUGGAUGCCCUGGCAGUCAGAGGCGAUGAAGGACGUGCUAAUCUGCGAUAAGCGCCGGUAAGGUGAUAUGAACCGUUAUAACCGGCGAUUUCCGAAUGGGGAAACCCAGUGUGAUUCGUCACACUAUCAUUAACUGAAUCCAUAGGUUAAUGAGGCGAACCGGGGGAACUGAAACAUCUAAGUACCCCGAGGAAAAGAAAUCAACCGAGAUUCCCCCAGUAGCGGCGAGCGAACGGGGAGGAGCCCAGAGCCUGAAUCAGCAUGUGUGUUAGUGGAAGCGUCUGGAAAGGCGCGCGAUACAGGGUGACAGCCCCGUACACAAAAGCGCAUGUGCUGUGAGCUCGAUGAGUAGGGCGGGACACGUGGUAUCCUGUCUGAAUAUGGGGGGACCAUCCUCCAAGGCUAAAUACUCCUGACUGACCGAUAGUGAACCAGUACCGUGAGGGAAAGGCGAAAAGAACCCCGGCGAGGGGAGUGAAAAAGAACCUGAAACCGUGUACGUACAAGCAGUGGGAGCACCCUUCGGGGUGUGACUGCGUACCUUUUGUAUAAUGGGUCAGCGACUUAUAUUCUGUAGCAAGGUUAACCGUAUAGGGGAGCCGGAGGGAAACCGAGUCUUAAUUGGGCGUUAAGUUGCAGGGUAUAGACCCGAAACCCGGUGAUCUAGCCAUGGGCAGGUUGAAGGUUGGGUAACACUAACUGGAGGACCGAACCGACUAAUGUUGAAAAAUUAGCGGAUGACCUGUGGCUGGGGGUGAAAGGCCAAUCAAACCGGGAGAUAGCUGGUUCUCCCCGAAAGCUAUUUAGGUAGCGCCUCGUGAAUUCAUCUCCGGGGGUAGAGCACUGUUUCGGCUAGGGGCCAUCCCGGCUUACCAACCCGAUGCAAACUGCGAAUACCGGAGAAUGUUAUCACGGGAGACACACGGCGGGUGCUAACGUCCGUCGUGAAGAGGGAAACAACCCAGACCGCCAGCUAAGGUCCCAAAGUCAUGGUUAAGUGGGAAACGAUGUGGGAAGGCCCAGACAGCCAGGAUGUUGGCUUAGAAGCAGCCAUCAUUUAAAGAAAGCGUAAUAGCUCACUGGUCGAGUCGGCCUGCGCGGAAGAUGUAACGGGGCUAAACCAUGCACCGAAGCUGCGGCAGCGAACGUAUCACCCAAGACAACUUUACGGAGUUGACGAUUGACGGAGCGAAGCGACGUCAAAGCGUUCAUUAAAGUCGAGUUGGCUUAGGGAUACGUUCGUUGGGUAGGGGAGCGUUCUGUAAGCCUGUGAAGGUGUGUCGUGAGGCAUGCUGGAGGUAUCAGAAGUGCGAAUGCUGACAUAAGUAACGAUAAAGCGGGUGAAAAGCCCGCUCGCCGGAAGACCAAGGGUUCCUGUCCAACGUUAAUCGGGGCAGGGUGAGUCGACCCCUAAGGCGAGGCCGAAAGGCGUAGUCGAUGGGAAACGGGUUAAUAUUCCCGUACUUGGUGUUACUGCGAAGGGGGGACGGAGAAGGCUAUGUUGGCCGGGCGACGGUUGUCCCGGUUUAAGCGUGUAGGUGUGUGUUCCAGGUAAAUCCGGUUCACUUUAACACUGAGGCGUGACGACGAGGCACUACGGUGCUGAAGCAACAAAUGCCCUGCUUCCAGGAAAAGCCUCUAAGCAUCAGGUAACACGAAAUCGUACCCCAAACCGACACAGGUGGUCAGGUAGAGAAUACCAAGGCGCUUGAGAGAACUCGGGUGAAGGAACUAGGCAAAAUGGUGCCGUAACUUCGGGAGAAGGCACGCUGACACGUAGGUGAAGUGAUUUACUCAUGGAGCUGAAGUCAGUCGAAGAUACCAGCUGGCUGCAACUGUUUAUUAAAAACACAGCACUGUGCAAACACGAAAGUGGACGUAUACGGUGUGACGCCUGCCCGGUGCCGGAAGGUUAAUUGAUGGGGUCAGCGUAAGCGAAGCUCCUGAUCGAAGCCCCGGUAAACGGCGGCCGUAACUAUAACGGUCCUAAGGUAGCGAAAUUCCUUGUCGGGUAAGUUCCGACCUGCACGAAUGGCGUAAUGAUGGCCAGGCUGUCUCCACCCGAGACUCAGUGAAAUUGAACUCGCUGUGAAGAUGCAGUGUACCCGCGGCAAGACGGAAAGACCCCGUGAACCUUUACUAUAGCUUGACACUGAACAUUGAGCCUUGAUGUGUAGGAUAGGUGGGAGGCUUUGAAGUGUGGACGCCAGUCUGCAUGGAGCCGACCUUGAAAUACCACCCUUUAAUGUUUGAUGUUCUAACGUGGACCCGUAAUCCGGGUUGCGGACAGUGUCUGGUGGGUAGUUUGACUGGGGCGGUCUCCUCCUAAAGAGUAACGGAGGAGCACGAAGGUUGGCUAAUCCUGGUCGGACAUCAGGAGGUUAGUGCAAUGGCAUAAGCCAGCUUGACUGCGAGCGUGACGGCGCGAGCAGGUGCGAAAGCAGGUCAUAGUGAUCCGGUGGUUCUGAAUGGAAGGGCCAUCGCUCAACGGAUAAAAGGUACUCCGGGGAUAACAGGCUGAUACCGCCCAAGAGUUCAUAUCGACGGCGGUGUUUGGCACCUCGAUGUCGGCUCAUCACAUCCUGGGGCUGAAGUAGGUCCCAAGGGUAUGGCUGUUCGCCAUUUAAAGUGGUACGCGAGCUGGGUUUAGAACGUCGUGAGACAGUUCGGUCCCUAUCUGCCGUGGGCGCUGGAGAACUGAGGGGGGCUGCUCCUAGUACGAGAGGACCGGAGUGGACGCAUCACUGGUGUUCGGGUUGUCAUGCCAAUGGCACUGCCCGGUAGCUAAAUGCGGAAGAGAUAAGUGCUGAAAGCAUCUAAGCACGAAACUUGCCCCGAGAUGAGUUCUCCCUGAGACUUAGAGUCUCCUGAAGGAACGUUGAAGACGACGACGUUGAUAGGCCGGGUGUGUAAGCGCAGCGAUGCGUUGAGCUAACCGGUACUAAUGAACCGUGAGGCUUAACCUU
RNAcentral lists this ribosomal RNA (2989 nucleotides) under Salmonella enterica subsp. enterica serovar Typhimurium. Its description in RNAcentral is "23S ribosomal RNA". It matches the Rfam family "Bacterial large subunit ribosomal RNA". Lineage: Bacteria; Pseudomonadati; Pseudomonadota; Gammaproteobacteria; Enterobacterales; Enterobacteriaceae. The record is from RNAcentral.